CCAUGUGCCACUAGCUUCAUAUGUAGUUGUUCAAGAAUCCAUAGUCAUGAAGAAAGAUUUUUUAUCCUGUGUAUACAUUUUUGUAAUCUUUAAAAGUUUGUUCUCUCUUGCAAGUUUUGAGACUUCUGUAGAUAGUUUUUAAGCCAGGACUUUGCUUUCUUGUUCUUUUCUUGAAUCAAGCCCAGUUGCUAUUGCCUCA
Molecule: long non-coding RNA, 199 nt
Filed under: Elaeis guineensis (African oil palm)
Lineage: Eukaryota; Viridiplantae; Streptophyta; Magnoliopsida; Arecales; Arecaceae
Description: long non-coding RNA (EGUI_LNC080945)
Source: RNAcentral